Molecule: ribosomal RNA, 458 nt
Filed under: Sphingomonas sp.
Lineage: Bacteria; Pseudomonadati; Pseudomonadota; Alphaproteobacteria; Sphingomonadales; Sphingomonadaceae
Description: bacterial SSU rRNA
Rfam family: Bacterial small subunit ribosomal RNA
Source: RNAcentral
CCUUUGGGGGAACUACAAACGGGUGCUGCUUGGUUUUCUUCGGUUGGUUUGGUAAGAUGUGGGGUUAAUCCCCGCAAGGAGCCCACCCCUCGCCUUUAGUUACCAUCAUUUAGUGGGCUAUUUUAAAGGACCCCCGGGGGCUAAGCGGGAGGAAGGUGGGGAUGACGUCAAGUCUUCAUGGCCCUUACGCGCUGGGCUACACACGUGCUACAAUGGCGAUUCCAGUGGGCAGCAAUCCCGGGAGGGUGAGCUAAUCUCCAAAAGUUGUCUCAGUUCGGAUUGUACUCUGCAACUCGAGUGCAUGAAGGCGGAAUCGCUAGUAAUCGCGGAUCAGCAUGCCGCGGUGAAUACGUUCCCAGGCCUUGUACACACCGCCCGUCACACCAUGGGAGUUGGAUUACACCCGAAGGCCGUCGGCGCCUAACCGCAAGGAGGCCAGGCCAACCCAUUGGGUUACC